UGCAGUCGAGCGGACAGAUGGGAGCUUGCUCCCUGAUGUUAGCGGCGGACGGGUGAGUAACACGUGGGUAACCUGCCUGUAAGACUGGGAUAACUCCGGGAAACCGGGGCUAAUACCGGAUGCUUGUUUGAACCGCAUGGUUCAAACAUAAAAGGUGGCUUCGGCUACCACUUACAGAUGGACCCGCGGCGCAUUAGCUAGUUGGUGAGGUAACGGCUCACCAAGGCAACGAUGCGUAGCCGACCUGAGAGGGUGAUCGGCCACACUGGGACUGAGACACGGCCCAGACUCCUACGGGAGGCAGCAGUAGGGAAUCUUCCGCAAUGGACGAAAGUCUGACGGAGCAACGCCGCGUGAGUGAUGAAGGUUUUCGGAUCGUAAAGCUCUGUUGUUAGGGAAGAACAAGUACCGUUCGAAUAGGGCGGUACCUUGACGGUACCUAACCAGAAAGCCACGGCUAACUACGUGCCAGCAGCCGCGGUAAUACGUAGGUGGCAAGCGUUGUCCGGAAUUAUUGGGCGUAAAGGGCUCGCAGGCGGUUCCUUAAGUCUGAUGUGAAAGCCCCCGGCUCAACCGGGGAGGGUCAUUGGAAACUGGGGAACUUGAGUGCAGAAGAGGAGAGUGGAAUUCCACGUGUAGCGGUGAAAUGCGUAGAGAUGUGGAGGAACACCAGUGGCGAAGGCGACUCUCUGGUCUGUAACUGACGCUGAGGAGCGAAAGCGUGGGGAGCGAACAGGAUUAGAUACCCUGGUAGUCCACGCCGUAAACGAUGAGUGCUAAGUGUUAGGGGGUUUCCGCCCCUUAGUGCUGCAGCUAACGCAUUAAGCACUCCGCCUGGGGAGUACGGUCGCAAGACUGAAACUCAAAGGAAUUGACGGGGGCCCGCACAAGCGGUGGAGCAUGUGGUUUAAUUCGAAGCAACGCGAAGAACCUUACCAGGUCUUGACAUCCUCUGACAAUCCUAGAGAUAGGACGUCCCCUUCGGGGGCAGAGUGACAGGUGGUGCAUGGUUGUCGUCAGCUCGUGUCGUGAGAUGUUGGGUUAAGUCCCGCAACGAGCGCAACCCUUGAUCUUAGUUGCCAGCAUUCAGUUGGGCACUCUAAGGUGACUGCCGGUGACAAACCGGAGGAAGGUGGGGAUGACGUCAAAUCAUCAUGCCCCUUAUGACCUGGGCUACACACGUGCUACAAUGGACAGAACAAAGGGCAGCGAAACCGCGAGGUUAAGCCAAUCCCACAAAUCUGUUCUCAGUUCGGAUCGCAGUCU
This 1266-nucleotide ribosomal RNA is filed under the name Bacillus sp. (in: firmicutes). RNAcentral's name for it is "bacterial SSU rRNA". It matches the Rfam family "Bacterial small subunit ribosomal RNA", at positions 56 to 1306 of the family's 1533-position model. Lineage: Bacteria; Bacillati; Bacillota; Bacilli; Caryophanales; Bacillaceae. The record is from RNAcentral.